RNAcentral lists this ribosomal RNA (445 nucleotides) under uncultured bacterium. RNAcentral describes it as "bacterial SSU rRNA". It matches the Rfam family "Bacterial small subunit ribosomal RNA", at positions 331 to 793 of the family's 1533-position model. The record is from RNAcentral.
CCAGACUCCUACGGGAGGCAGCAGUGGGGAAUAUUGCACAAUGGGCGAAAGCCUGAUGCAGCAACGCCGCGUGAAGGAAGACGGUUUUCGGAUUGUAAACUUCUGUUCUUAGUGAAGAAUAAUGACGGUAACUAAGGAGCAAGCCACGGCUAACUACGUGCCAGCAGCCGCGGUAAUACGUAGGUGGCAAGCGUUGUCCGGAAUUACUGGGUGUAAAGGGAGCGUAGGCGGGCGAGAAAGUUGAAUGUUAAAUCUACCGGCUUAACUGGUAGCUGCGUUCAAAACUUCUUGUCUUGAGUGAAGUAGAGGCAGGCGGAAUUCCUAGUGUAGCGGUGAAAUGCGUAGAUAUUAGGAGGAACACCAGUGGCGAAGGCGGCCUGCUGGGCUUUAACUGACGCUGAGGCUCGAAAGCGUGGGGAGCAAACAGGAUUAGAUACCCUAGUAG